GGCGGCCAUGACACUUUGGCAGUUAGGAGGGGGUACGAUUACGGUUUAUCCCAAUAGAUGGUGCCGCGAUAACUAAAGUCAGCGUCCAUUUUGUUCCUCUAAAUUCAGUCUACCAGUGUUGCAAUAUCUCAUAGACAGUGAUAUAGUGGCAAUAAGUGUAUUUACACCUACAGUUUAGUGUUUCCGUGAAGAAUAUUAAUAUUUUUACCGUAUAGGAAAUCUAUAAAAUAUUCGAGAUGUCUGGAAACUGGAAAUAUAUGUGCGUAUUUUAAGUAUGGUUUAUCACCUUAUAAAAGUCCUGGAUUAAGACUCUUCAGAUUUCCAAUAAAAAAUCUUUUGACUUGUAAAAAAUGGAUAGUACACUCUGGGAAUGCCGCAUUGGGAAUUCUCGAGUUUAGCGAGCGGAUUUAAAAAAAAAUAUAUACAGUAAGCAUUUUGAUGAAAUUUUUUUAAACACGAAAUAUUUAUCCGCUACUGCUGUACCAAAAAAAUACAGUGAGGAAGAAGAGGAAGCUUUGUUACCGACACCACGUGUUUUACAUACGUAUUCGAGAACAAAACAACCAUCAACCAGUGACGAUAUAGUUUCUAACAGUGAUAAUUCUGAACUUAACGAUUUUGUCGCUAUCACCAUUGGUCAAGAAAAAAAAUUUAUAAUUAUCAUACACUUGAAAGGAAAUUGUCUGCAUCUCGAAAACGGAUUAUUCUUCUGGAAACUCGUAUAACAGUACUAAAAAGGAGUCCGGUUAAGAUUGGACAAAAUCUGUACAAACUGCACCAAAGCCACAAAAUCAGUUUUCCGCUGCGUUGCUGAAAAUGCAGUUGCAUAAGAAAAACGAAAGUGGUCACCAAUAGAAAAAACUGCUAUUGAAAUUUUUUAUAAAGGACCUAGCACGUAUAAAUUUCUGCGUCGAAAAGGAGUUGCAUUACCAGCGGGUCCAACACUAAAAACAUGGAUUGCAAACUUUACCUGUAACACCGGUUUCAAUAAAAACAUAUUUUAUAUUAUAAAAAAUAAAGCAGUAAGCAUGUCUCCUACAGAGAAAAAAUCAAUUUUAAUAUUCGAUGAGAUGGCCAUUAAGAGUACAAUAGAAAACUUGAUAUUAUUGAAGGCUUUGAGAAGAGAAUACUAUUUUUUUGCAAUACUUUGUAAUUUAAAAUUAUUUCAUUAAUAUUAAUAUUCCUCAUUAUUCCUUUUCAUAAGGGUGGUGAAAAAUCUAAUUUUAAUUUAAAUUUACUAAUUUAAAAAUCGAUGAAAAAUUUUUUUUUUGUGCCGAUGAUACCAGUAUCCCUUGGAGCAACUAAAGUAUUGCAACUCUUCAUGCAACUAGGUAUAACUUCUGACCUACUUACGAGAAAAACCUAGGCUGACUCUAAUUUACUACCUUUUAACGUGCAGAAGACAGUAGCAUUAUCCUAUAAAGGCUCUUCAAUCCUUGCUUCUUAAUAACAGCCCGAACAGUACCGUCGAUUUUGAAAAAUUUCUUGCUAUCUUUUAGACAGAAACCUCAAAUGGUCCCUUCAUUUGGAUUUGUUAAAUGAGAAACUCGUCUCAGCGUUCUAUUCAAUAAGACCUGUUUCAGAAGAUCAUUGCAGAAGUUACUUAAAAGAUCACGGAUCACCAGAAAUUCAACAUUCGAUGUCUAUUUGCCGAUCCCGUCCACUGAGUUAGUAAACCAGUCCAUAUUAUAUUCCGCAAAAAAACUGUGCAAUCAUCUCCCUUUACAACUUAAAUCUGCAACAUAUUUUCACAAGUUCCGUAAAAUUACAAAAUAUUAUCUAUAUAAAAGACGUAGAAGCAGUAGGUAUAUCUUAAUGAAUAAAAAUAAGAAAUUACAGUAUCUUCUAUGCACAAGUAACUAAAGUAUUUUUAUCAUUAUUUGGGUGUUCGACCCAAAUCUAUGAUAUUAUAUUUGGGUGUCAUACGUAGCAGCCUUAACUUAUUAGUUCCUAAGUUUGUAUUUUGUUUGUUGUAUGUUCAAUUUGCAAUUUAUAUAAGUUUUACAUUAUAUUUUUUAAUGUUUUACUUUCAUUAUCUUUUAUUUUGUAAUAUUGACUAUAUAUCUAGUUUUAAUAAACUGUAUUUAUUUUGACUAUAAAAUUGUUUAACUUUCAGUGACAAUAAAGAAUAUUUCUAAUAAACAUAUUAGAUCGGACGAAUUGAUUGAAAAAAACCAUUUUCACUUAUGUAAACAAUGGUUUGUGUACUUAUAUAAAAUAAAUAGUAUUAUUUAUUU
This 2237-nucleotide long non-coding RNA is filed under the name Diabrotica virgifera virgifera (western corn rootworm). Its description in RNAcentral is "uncharacterized LOC126887397". The record is from RNAcentral. Lineage: Eukaryota; Metazoa; Arthropoda; Insecta; Coleoptera; Chrysomelidae.